RNAcentral lists this ribosomal RNA (322 nucleotides) under uncultured eukaryote. RNAcentral describes it as "partial 18S ribosomal RNA". It matches the Rfam family "Eukaryotic small subunit ribosomal RNA", at positions 1470 to 1796 of the family's 1831-position model. The record is from RNAcentral.
CCCUUAGAUGUCCUGGACCGCACGCGCGCUACGCUGACAUGUUCAACAAGUUUCUCCUAGUUCGACAGGACUGGGAAAUCUUUGAACGCAUGUCGUGAUAGGGAUAGAUCAUUGCAAUUAUUGAUCUUGAACGAGGAAUUCCUAGUAAACGCGAGUCAUCAGCUCGCAUUGAUUACGUCCCUGCCCUUUGUACACACCGCCCGUCGCACCUACCGAUUGAAUGUUUCGGUGAAGAUUCCGGAUAGGACUGAUUUGAUUUAUUUCAUUUCUGACCUAAAAGCUAUCUAAACCUCAACAUUUAGAGGAAGGUGAAGUCGUAACA